Molecule: long non-coding RNA, 675 nt
Filed under: Homo sapiens (human)
Lineage: Eukaryota; Metazoa; Chordata; Mammalia; Primates; Hominidae
Description: surfactant associated 1, lncRNA
Source: RNAcentral
AGUCGGCCUUUGUUAGCACACAGGGCUCACACCCACAGGGACAAAGGAAUACCCAAAGGAAAAAUCUGUGGCUCAGAUAGUCUCCAUAUCAUAGACCAGGGAAUCACACCUGAAACAUUGAUCUUACAGUCUUUUUUGGUUUUGUUUUUCUUUGAAUGGCAGCUUUAGAUUGUUCUGGUUUUUGUGUGCUUACAAACAGGACUCCUCAUCUGUUUUUAAGAGGGAAAUCUGAGUUUUCAAGGAAAGCCGAAUACAGUUGCCAAGUUGCCAGUCAAAGAAACAAUGUCAACACCUGCUCAUAGAGAUGGAAUUCCUAACCCGGAAUAUUGCCCUUGAAUUACAACGAGAAAAAGCACCUCUUCAAGUGAGAUGGCAGACCACCUCAGGAUGGAAAUGUAUUUCUUCAUCCCCCUCUCUACUUCCCUGUGACCUCCUGCAAAUAAGGGAGAGACAAAGAGAAGAGCAGAAGAACAGAAGAAUGGAGUGGCAAAGAGAAGAGAAGGAGUGACUGAACAUUGACAAGACUUUGGUUGGGGAUGGUCAGAGAGGAGAUUAGCUGCUAGACGGCCACACUGCGGAGAAAGAUCAUUUUCCCACUCCAUCCCCCUUCCAGCUCCCCAUCCAUCUCACCAAGAGCCAGCUCCACCACUCAAUAAAACCUUACAUUCAUCUUUC